This is a long non-coding RNA of Oncorhynchus nerka (sockeye salmon), 304 nucleotides long. RefSeq lists it as uncharacterized. NCBI's taxonomy places the organism in Eukaryota, Metazoa, Chordata, Actinopteri, Salmoniformes, Salmonidae. The transcript is spliced from 3 exons. The record is from RefSeq and is a predicted model, not a curated record.
GCCAACCCCCUGACCAGGACCGCUCCAGCCACGGUAGAGAUCAGUAACCGUACCAUCGUGUUUCCUGCCACGCCCUCAGGAGAAACCUCAGAGUCCUCUGUGGAGGUGGAGAACAGAGGAGAGCAGGUGAGGUGGUACCUGUCUUCCUUCGCCCCUCCCUAUGUAAAGGGGGUGGACAGCAGUGGGGAUGUGUACCGGCCACCUACACAGCCUUCAGAUGUCCCCUUUAGUCUCUGGAACCCUGGGAGCAUACCACAAGAUGCAGGUGCCCAUCACCUUCCUGCCCAGGGACCGAGGGGACUAU